This 253-nucleotide ribosomal RNA is filed under the name uncultured bacterium. RNAcentral describes it as "partial 16S ribosomal RNA". It matches the Rfam family "Bacterial small subunit ribosomal RNA", at positions 524 to 776 of the family's 1533-position model. The record is from RNAcentral.
UACGAGCGGCCCAAACGUUAUUCGGAAUUACUGGGCUUAAAGAGUUCGUAGGCGGCAUGAAAAGUAGGGUGUGAAAGCCCUCGGCUCAACCGAGGAACUGCUUUUGAGACUGCCGAGCUAGAGUGCAGAAGGGGCAACUGGAAUUCCCAGUGUAGCGGUGAAAUGCGUAGAUAUUGGGAAGAACACCUGAGGCGAAGGCGGGUUGCUGGGCUGACACUGACGCUGAGGCGCGAAAGCCAGGGGAGCAAACGGG